This is a non-coding RNA of Pelobates cultripes (western spadefoot toad), 216 nucleotides long. NCBI's taxonomy places the organism in Eukaryota, Metazoa, Chordata, Amphibia, Anura, Pelobatidae. The record is from the annotation of a GenBank genome assembly.
CCAAAAUUUGACUUCAAGUUUUAACGCCAUUAGAUAUUAUGAAUGUUCUUAGUUUCUAUUUAGAUUCAUUAAUACUGAAUUGAAAUUGGUAGUUCAUAUAUUGUAUAAACCAUCACUGAGCAUAGAUUAGCUAUUAGGGAUUAUCAUUAUAUUAGGGGAUUUAUCCAUUUAGAUCUAUCACCAAAUAUUAGAUGGUAUUCUAAACAACCUACAAAU